This 2986-nucleotide ribosomal RNA is filed under the name Muusoctopus yaquinae. Its description in RNAcentral is "Benthoctopus yaquinae partial 18S ribosomal RNA". It matches the Rfam family "Eukaryotic small subunit ribosomal RNA". Lineage: Eukaryota; Metazoa; Mollusca; Cephalopoda; Octopoda; Octopodidae. The record is from RNAcentral.
CUGGUUGAUCCUGCCAGUAGUCAUAUGCUUGUCUCAAAGCUUAAGCCAUGCAAGUGUAAGUUCAUGCCGUAAACGAAUGGUGAAACCGCGAAUGGCUCAGGAACCGGACCUAAUCCUCGGGACCGUAACAUUCCUCAACGCGAGGAGAGUGGAUAACUGUGGCAAUUCUAGAGCUAAUACAUGCAACCGAGGCCGCGAUCGCAGGUCGCACCCGGGAGUCGGGCUCAACGGCGUUCGGAAAAUCGAUCGCGGUGGUGGUGGUGGAGUGCGGUGGUCGUCGGCUUUCGUUGCCGUCGCCGCAGUGUCUGCCGCUGCUGCCGUGGCCGUGGCCCGUUCGUCGCCGGCACCCGCUCGGUCGGUCCGACGUCCGUCGCCUUUAUUUUGUUUAGGUGGCGGUCGCGCCGGCUGCGAUGACACGGCCGACCUUGGCAUUGGUCGCGGCGCAAAUAUUAGACUGAGACCGACGCGUUCAAGCCGUCGCAGCAGCCGCCGUCUUCGUCGGCGCCGGAAAACCCGCCGUUCCGCGGUGGUGUCGCUGGUGUUUUGUCGUUGGCGGGCCUCAGGCGUGCGUCGUCACGCCGUUUUCGAUUUUGGUGACUCUGGAUAACUGUCAGUACGAUCGCACGGGCUAGAAUCGACUAGCCUUCGCGCGACGGGUCCCCCGCGAGUCCGCCCUAUCAACUGUCGACGGCCCGGUAAGUGCCGACCGUGGUGGCAACGGGUAACGGGGAAUCAGGGUUCGAUUCCGGAGAGGGAGCAUGCGAAACGGCUACCACAUCCAAGGAAGGCAGCAGGCGCGCAAAUUACCCACUCCCGGCACGGGGAGGUAGUGACGAAAAAUAACGACGCGGGACUCUGUCGAGGCCCCGCGAUCGGAAUGAGUACACUUCAAAUCCGUUAACGAGGAUCGACCGGAGGGCAAGUCUGGUGCCAGCAGCCGCGGUAAUUCCAGCUCCGGUAGCGUAUAUUAAAAUUGUUGCGUUUGAAAGGCUCGUAGUCGGAAUUCGGGUCUCGAAAGCGUGCGCCAGCACGUUCGGGGCGACGGCGCCAUUGCUGUCGCGCCUCGCGCGCGUCGGCUUCGGUCGUCCGUUCGCACUCCCGGCCCUAUUCGCCGGUGCGUGUACAGGUCGAGCCGCCGAGCUCUGUUGGUUUGGGUUUUGGUGCAUCGCCGCGUCCGCGCGUGCGUAGUUGGUCGGUUUCCAUUUCUUUUGCCGCUUCCUCCGUGUUGUGCGCGGUGUGCGUGUGUUCGUCGGCGUUUCGCGUCGUCGUCGUGCGUGCUGCCGCCGCGCGCGGUCGGUGGUCUAUGGAUGAUGGUCUACGGCCCGCAGUCGUUCGCGGGUUACGUCGCGGUCGAGCGUCCUCCCACACAAACAUCUCGCGGUAUUCGUCGAUCGGCACGGUUCCUCCGAGGGUGCUCUUUGCCGAGUGUCCGAGGCGGCCGGUACGUUCACUGUGAAAAAAUUAGAGUGCUCAGGGCGAGCCCUGUCGGCUUGCAUACGAAAAGCAUGGAAUGAUGGAAAAUGGCCUCGUCCGCGCGUCAUCCGUCGGUCUCCGUUCACGACGAGGCAAUGAUCGAAGGGAGCGAUCGGGGCCACUCGUAUUGCGACGUUAGAGGUGAAAUUCUUGGAUCGUCGCAAGACGCACUGCAGCGAUGGCGUGUGGCAAGCACGUUUUCCUCGAUCAAGAGCGAAAGUCGGAGGUUCGAAGACGAUCAGAUACCGUCGUAGUUCCGACCGUAAACGAUGCCGACUGGCGCUCCGCCGGCGUUCGCUUCGAUGACCCGGCGGGGAGCCUGCGCGGGAAACCAUAGUCGGUUCCGGGGGGAGUAUGGUUGCAAAACAGAAACUUAAAGGAAUUGACGGAAGGGCACCACCAGGAGUGGAGCCUGCGGCUUAAUUUGACUCAACACGGGAAAACUCACCCGGUCCGGACACCGGUAGGAUUGACAGAUCGAUAGCUCUUUCUCGAUUCGGUGGGUGGUGGUGCAUGGCCGUUCUUAGUUGGUGGAGCGAUCCGUCUGGUUGAUUCCGAUAACGAACGAGACUCCGGCCUGCUAACUAGCGCGCCGAUUAGUGCUUUUCCGGUAGCGUGGCGGCGCCGAAGCCGUCGUCGGUAGCUCUGCGCGCGGUUCGAGCUCGUUGCCGCUUGGUGCUGCUGCCGCUGUUCUCGUUCUGUGGAAGUCUUUUUUCGGGGCGGUGGCGGCCGCUUAGCUUUCUUUCCGUUGCUUGCUUGUCCGUGUUUCUGGUCUCGCGUGUACGCCGUGGUCGGUGGCUCAUUUGUCGCCUGUUGAGGGGUGUGCGUGGUCACGGAAGACGGCGGGUCGUGUCGGUCGUUGGCGGUGGUCGUUGCCGUUUCGGGACGACGUUCGGAGGGCGUCGCGCGGCAGCAGCGGCGCCGGUGGUCGGUGGGCCCGCGUCCGUCGCGAGCCCGGCGUCGGCACGCCGUUGCGUCCGGGCCAGUCGGUUGGCGAAUGCAGCGCUUCUUAGAGGGACGGGCGGCAGAAAGCCGCACGAGGCGGAGCGAUAACAGGUCUGUGAUGCCCUUAGAUGUCCGGGGCUGCACGCGCGCUACACUGGAGGUAUCAGCGGGCGCGUCUCCCCCGGCCCGAGAGGGUCGGGAAACCUCUGAACCACCUCCCGUGAUAGGGAUCGGGGCCUGGAACCAACCCCGUGAACGAGGAAUUCCCGGUAGGCGCGGGUCAUCAGCCCGCGUCGAUCACGUCCCUGCCCUUUGUACACACCGCCCGUCGCUACUACCGAUCGAACGGUCCGGUGAGGUCCUCGGAUCUGGCCGACGAGUCCGCAGGCCGUUCGGCGGCGUUUCGGUUCGAUUUUCGGGCGAUCACUUUUUCGCCCGUGUAUUCGGUUCGUUGCCGUCGUGUCGGUGCGCUCUCUGAUGGCCCGGAGAAGACGACCGAACCCGAUCGCUUAGAGGAAGUAAAAGUCGUAACAAGGUUUCCGUAGGUGAACCUGCGGAAGGAUCAUUA